RNAcentral lists this long non-coding RNA (2127 nucleotides) under Sus scrofa (pig). RNAcentral describes it as "lncRNA (ENSSSCG00015077922.1)". The record is from RNAcentral. Lineage: Eukaryota; Metazoa; Chordata; Mammalia; Artiodactyla; Suidae.
UGGGUUAAGGAUCUGGCGUUGCCGUGAGCUGCAGUGUAGAUCACAGACGCGGCUCGGAUCUGGCGUUGCUGUGGUGGUGUAGGCCGGUGGCUACAGCUCCGAUUAGACCCCUAGCCUGGGAACCUCCAUGUGCCACGAGUGCGGCCCUAAAAAGGACAAAAAGACAAAAAUAAAUAAAUAAAAUUAAUAAAAACUCAAAUUUAUUGAAAAACAACCUAUACAUUCAUGAAUUUCAAUGAAUUCCAAAUAGAAUAAAUCCCAGACACAUCAGAAUAACAUGCUAGAAGUCAAAAACAAGAAAAAAUCUGGAAAAUGAGACCAAAACAACACAUUACUUGCAAGGGAACCCCAGUAAAAGUAACUGCUGAAUUCCCACCAGUCGUAAGAGAGGCCAGAAAGCAGCAGGAUGACAGAUUCAGAGCGCUCACGGAAAACUGUCCAGUGUCCUGCGUGGCUCAGCAGGUUAAAGACCCAGCGUUGACACUGUGAGGACUCGGUUGAAUCCUUGGCCUUGCUCAGUGGUUAAGGAUCUAGCACUGAUGCACGGGGGCUUAGGUCACGGGUGCGGCUCAGAUCCCCUGUUGCUGAGGCUGUGGCAAGGCGGCUGUAGGCUGGCAGCUGCAGCCCCAAUUUGACCCCUAGCCCGGGAACUUCCAUAUGCUGCAGGUGCAGCCCUAAAAGGAAAAAGAAGAAAAAACUACCCGUAACGACCCAUAAAGUUCAGGACCAGAUAGUUUCACCAUUUCUACCAAAUAGUUAAGGAGGAAUUAACGUCGGGAGUUCCCCAUGGUCUAGCUGUUAGGCUGUGGCCUUUUCACCACUGUGGCCCCGGUUCAAUCCCUGGUCUGGGAAAUGAGCUCCCGCAGCAGGCUGCUGCACGCUAUGGUGGGGGAAAGAAAGAAUUAAAGCCAGUUUUUCAAAAACUCCCUAAAAACCAAGGAGGAGGGAAUACGUCCCAACUCCUUGCCUAUGUCCACGAUCCGUGUGUUACCAAACCAGACAAAGGUAUCAUCAGAGAAAACAUACUCCAAUAUUGCUUGUAAGUAUCGAUGCAAAAAUCCUCCACACACGUUAGCAAACCAAAUGCAGCAACACAUAAAAAGAAUUCCACACUGUGACUAAGGGGGGGGUUCAUCCCAGGAAUUCUAGAUUGGUUUAACAUCAGAAAAACAAUGAGUAUAACACAUCAUAUCAACAGAAUAAAAAACAAAAAGCACACAAUCAUCUCAGACAAUGCCGAAAAAUCAUUUGACGAGGAGUUCCGUUGUGGCGCAGUGGUUAACGAAUCCGACUAGGAACCAUGAGGUUGCAGGUUUGGUCCCUGCCCUUGCUCAGUGGGUUAACGAUCUGGCGUUGCCAUGAGCUGUGGUGUAGGUCGCAGACACUGCUCAGAUCCCGCGUUGCUGUGGCUCUGGCGUAGGCUGGCAGCUACAGCUCCGAUUAGACCCCUAGCCUGGGAACCUCCAUAUGCCGUGGGAGUGGCCCAAAGAAAUAGCAAAAAGACAAAAAAAAAAAAUCAUUUGAUGAAAUCCAACACGUUUAUAUGAUAAAAACACUCAGCAAACAAGGGGAGAAGGGAACUUCCUUAGUCUGAUAACGGCAUCUAUGAAAACCCCAGAGCUCACAUCACGCUUAGUGCCGAGUGGCUGGAUGCUUCCAGGAACAAGGCAAGGGUAUGCUCUUGCUGCUUCUGGCCAACAUGGCACUGAGGUCCUGGCCAGGGUAAUGAGGCGAAAAAGAAAAGAAAAAGAAAAAGGAUCUAGAUUGGAAAGGAAGAAACAUUUGAUUUCUAUUCACAGAUGACAUGACCUGGUAUGUGAAAAGUCCUAAGGAGCGCUUUGAAAAAUGAUUAGAACUAAUAAACGAACUCAGGAGUUUGCAGGAUGAAAUACCAAGACACAGGGAGUUCCAUCGAGGCUCAGGGGUUAAUGCAUCUGACUAGGAACCAUGAGGUUGUGGGUUCCAUCCCUGGCCUCGCUCAGUGGGUUAAGGAUCCAGCGUUGCCGUGAGCUAUGGUGUAGGUCGCAGACGUGGCUCGGAUCUGGUGUUGCUGUGGCUGUGCUGCAAGCCGGCAGCUAUAGCUCUAAUUAGACCCCUAGCCUGGGAACCUCCAUAUGUCGUGGGUGC